RNAcentral lists this ribosomal RNA (425 nucleotides) under uncultured bacterium. Its description in RNAcentral is "bacterial SSU rRNA". It matches the Rfam family "Bacterial small subunit ribosomal RNA", at positions 355 to 775 of the family's 1533-position model. The record is from RNAcentral.
UCGAGAAUCUUCGGCAAUGGGCGCAAGCCUGACCGAGCGACGCCGCGUGCGAGAUGAAGGCCUUCGGGUUGUAAAUCGCUGUCAGAGGGGAGGAAAUGCCGGUGGGUUCUCCCACCGGUUUGACCUAUCCUCAGAGGAAGGACGGGCUAAGUUCGUGCCAGCAGCCGCGGUAAGACGAACCGUCCAAACGUUAUUCGGAAUCACUGGGCUUAAAGGGUGCGUAGGCGGUCCGGGAAGUUGGGUGUGAAAGCCCUCGGCUCAACCGAGGAAUUGCGCCCAAAACUGCCGGGCUUGAGGGAGACAUAGGUGAGCGGAACUUAGGGUGGAGCGGUGAAAUGCGUUGAGAUCCUAAGGAACACCAGUAGCGAAAGCGGCUCACUGGGUCUCUUCUGACGCUGAAGCACGAAAGCUAGGGGAGCGAAGAG